GCAGUGGUGAUUCAGUGGUAGAAUUCUCACCUUCCACGCGGGAGACCGGGGUUUGAUUUCUGGCCAAUGCG
This 71-nucleotide transfer RNA is filed under the name Loxodonta africana (African savanna elephant). It matches the Rfam family "tRNA". Rfam says of the family: Transfer RNA (tRNA) molecules are approximately 80 nucleotides in length. Their secondary structure includes four short double-helical elements and three loops (D, anti-codon, and T loops). Further hydrogen bonds mediate the characteristic L-shaped molecular structure. tRNAs have two regions of fundamental functional importance: the anti-codon, which is responsible for specific mRNA codon recognition, and the 3' end, to which the tRNAs corresponding amino acid is attached (by aminoacyl-tRNA synthetases). tRNAs cope with the degeneracy of the genetic code in two manners: having more than one tRNA (with a specific anti-codon) for a particular amino acid; and 'wobble' base-pairing, i.e. permitting non-standard base-pairing at the 3rd anti-codon position. The record is from Rfam by way of RNAcentral. Lineage: Eukaryota; Metazoa; Chordata; Mammalia; Proboscidea; Elephantidae.